This 497-nucleotide ribosomal RNA is filed under the name uncultured bacterium. RNAcentral's name for it is "partial 16S ribosomal RNA". It matches the Rfam family "Bacterial small subunit ribosomal RNA", at positions 28 to 507 of the family's 1533-position model. The record is from RNAcentral.
GAUGAACGCUGGCGGCGUGCCUAAUACAUGCAAGUCGAGCGAACAGACGCGGCGCUUGCUCCUCUGACGUUUGCGGCGGACGGGUGAGUAACACGUGGAUAACCUCCCUAUAAGACUGGGAUAACUUCGGGAAACCGGAGCUAAUCCCGGAUAAUAUAUUGAACCGCAUGGUUCAUUAGUGAAAGACGGUUUUGCUGUCACUUAUCGAUGGAUCUGCGCCGCUUUAGCUAGUUGGUAAGGUAACGGCUUAUCAAGGCAACGAUGCGUAGCCGACCUGAGAGGGUGAUCGGCCACACGGGAACUGAGACACGGUCCAUACUCCUACGGGAGGCAGCAGUAGGGAAUCUGCCGCAAUGGGCGGAAGCCUGACGGAACAACGCCGCGUGAGUGAUGAAGGUCUUCGGAUCGUAAAACUCUGUUAUUAGGGAAGAACAAAUGUGUAAGUAACUAUGCACGUCUUGACGGUACCUAAUCAAAAAGCCACGGCUAACUACGUG